Molecule: ribosomal RNA, 324 nt
Filed under: uncultured bacterium
Lineage: Bacteria
Description: bacterial SSU rRNA
Rfam family: Bacterial small subunit ribosomal RNA
Source: RNAcentral
CAUGGCUCAGGAUGAACGCUAGCGGGAGGCCUAACACAUGCAAGCCGAGCGGUAGAGAUUCUUCGGGAUCUUGAGAGCGGCGCACGGGUGCGGAACACGUGUGCAACCUGCCUUUAUCUGGGGGAUAGCCUUUCGAAAGGAAGAUUAAUACCCCAUAAUAUAUUUUCUGGCAUCAGAAAAUAUUGAAAACUCCGGUGGAUAGAGAUGGGCACGCGCAGGAUUAGAUAGUUGGUGAGGUAACGGCUCACCAAGUCAACGAUCCUUAGGGGGCCUGAGAGGGUGAUCCCCCACACUGGUACUGAGACACGGACCAGACUCCUACGG